RNAcentral lists this ribosomal RNA (253 nucleotides) under uncultured bacterium. RNAcentral describes it as "partial 16S ribosomal RNA". It matches the Rfam family "Bacterial small subunit ribosomal RNA", at positions 524 to 776 of the family's 1533-position model. The record is from RNAcentral.
UACGUAGGGUGCAAGCGUUGUCCGGAAUUAUUGGGCGUAAAGAGCUCGUAGGCGGUUCGUCGCGUCGGCUGUGAAAACCUGAGGCUCAACCUCAGGCCUGCAGUCGAUACUGGACGGCUAGAGUCUGGUAGGGGGAUCUGGAAUUCCUGGUGUAGCGGUGGAAUGCGCAGAUAUCAGGAGGAACACCGGUGGCGAAGGCGGGAUCCUGGGCCAGUACUGACGCUGAGGAGCGAAAGCGUGGGGAGCAAACAGG